AUAUAUCAACCUCUUCAGCUUUUGGUUGUUGAGUGUUGGAUGUGGGGGUUUUUUGCUGGUCUUCUAAAAAAGGUCAGCUCCCCUGAAAUGCAUUAGCAGAACAAUUUGUGGACCGUUCAUUGGUGUGAUAACUAUCUACGCUAUUGACGUGAAGCAGUUCUGCUUCAAACAGUCCAUUGAAUUGGACAAAUUUUCAUUA
This 199-nucleotide unclassified non-coding RNA is filed under the name Phlegmacium subrugulosum. RNAcentral describes it as "partial internal transcribed spacer 2". The record is from RNAcentral. Lineage: Eukaryota; Fungi; Basidiomycota; Agaricomycetes; Agaricales; Cortinariaceae.